AAAAGGACUGAUAAGAACGUGUCUCCACAAGGACAAGGCUUUAUGACUUCUAACACAACACUGCUGGGGCAUCUGGGAGACGGGAAUACUCAUUAAAUUCUCAGUUUGGUUCAGGGGAAUUCCUGAAGAAAAAUCUCGAAGAAAAAGGUUUUAGUACAUAAAAAGCAGAAACGGACAAUUAGACAAACAGCCCUUACCCGUCAAUGAUUGACCAGAGCGACUGAGCAGUUACUGCUUAGUCAUAGCCAAAUGGGACGGGUGGGGACGUGCCGGUCUCCAUGGAAACAGGACGUAGCAGCACCAGAUGGGGCAGAAGGGGGCAGUGUGGUGCAGGUGUUUGCUGCACAGGUAGAUGCUGCAGGUUAAGAAUCAGGUUUCACCAAACCUCUAUAACAUUUUGUCAUUGUGCUGUGACAUGAGGAUGAGCUACAGUUGGAGUUUUAUCAGCCU
This is a long non-coding RNA of Astatotilapia calliptera (eastern happy), 450 nucleotides long. The record is from Ensembl. NCBI's taxonomy places the organism in Eukaryota, Metazoa, Chordata, Actinopteri, Cichliformes, Cichlidae.